Molecule: ribosomal RNA, 1554 nt
Filed under: human gut metagenome
Description: bacterial LSU rRNA
Rfam family: Bacterial large subunit ribosomal RNA
Source: RNAcentral
ACCUAAUCCGAGGCAGAGAGCGUAGGAGAUGGACAACUGGUUGAUAUUCCAGUACCGGUAGUAAUUGUUUGAGCAAUGGAGUGACACAGAAGGGCAGGCAAGCAUGCGAAUGGAAGAGCAUGUGUAAGCGUGUAGGGUGGUGCAUAGGCAAAUCCGUGCACUGAAAGCCUGAGGCGUGAUGCGGAGUGAGCAGAGAUGCGAGCGAAGUUGUUGACCCCACACUGUCGAGAAAAGCUUCUAGUGAGAGAGCUACCGCCCGUACCGUAAACCGACACAGGUAUGCGGGGAGAGAAUCCUAAGGUGCGCGGGAGAACCCUCGUUAAGGAACUCGGCAAAAUGUACCCGUAACUUCGGGAUAAGGGUAGCCACUGUUGUGAAGUCCCAUGCGGAUGGAGCAUAGAGUGGUCGCAGAGAAGAGGCCCAAGCGACUGUUUACCAUAAACACAGGUGCCUGCUAAAGCGAAAGCUGACGUAUAGGUGCUGACACCUGCCCAGUGCCGGAAGGUUAAGGAAGGAUGUUCGGAUUAGUCCAAAGCAUUCGACUGAAGCCCCGGUGAACGGCGGCCGUAACUAUAACGGUCCUAAGGUAGCGAAAUUCCUUGUCGGGUAAGUUCCGACCCGCACGAAAGGUGUAACGAUUUGGGCACUGUCUCAACGAGGGACCCGGUGAAAUUGAAAUACCUGUGAAGAUGCAGGUUACCCGCGACUGGACAGAAAGACCCCAUGGAGCUUUACUGUAACCUGACAUUGGGUUUUGAUACAUUACGUACAGGAUAGGUGGGAGGCUUGGAAAGUUGGACGCUAGUCUGACUGGAGCCGACGUUGGGAUACCACCCUUGAUGUAUUGAAAUUCUAACCGCGAGAGUAACGAAAUCCGGGACAGUGUCAGGCGGGCAGUUUGACUGGGGCGGUCGCCUCCGAAAGAGUAACGGAGGCGCCCAAAGGUUCCCUCAGCGCGGCCGGAAAUCGCGCGAAGAGUGUAAAGGCAGAAGGGAGCUUGACUGCGAGUCAAACACGACGAGCAGGUACGAAAGUAGGGCUUAGUGAUCCGGUGGUACCGAGUGGAAGGGCCAUCGCUCAACGGAUAAAAGCUACCCUGGGGAUAACAGGCUAAUCUCUCCCAAGAGUCCAUAUCGACGGGGAGGUUUGGCACCUCGAUGUCGGCUCAUCACAUCCUGGGGCUGAAGUCGGUCCCAAGGGUUGGGCUGUUCGCCCAUUAAAGUGGUACGUGAGCUGGGUUCAGAACGUCGUGAGACAGUUCGGUCCCUAUCCAUCGCGGGCGCAAGAGAUUUGAAGGGGGCUGCUCCUAGUACGAGAGGACCGGAGUGGACGAACCGCUGGUGUACCAAUUAUCCCGCCAGGGGUACAGUUGGGUAGCUACGUUCGGAAAGGAUAAACGCUGAAAGCAUCUAAGCGUGAAACCAGCCUUAAGAUGAGAUCUCUCAUAGAGCAAUCUAGUAAGACACCUUAAAGAAGAUGAGGUUGAUAGGUCGGGAGUGUAAGUACAGCAAUGUAUUGAGCGGACCGAUACUAAUAUGUCGAGGGCUUGACUUA